This is a long non-coding RNA of Oncorhynchus keta (chum salmon), 7012 nucleotides long. RefSeq lists it as uncharacterized. The record is from RefSeq and is a predicted model, not a curated record. The transcript is spliced from 2 exons. NCBI's taxonomy places the organism in Eukaryota, Metazoa, Chordata, Actinopteri, Salmoniformes, Salmonidae.
UAACCUGUCAGUCUUUGUCGUUGUUUUUUGUUUGAAUUGUUUACGUGUUCGCUAUGCGGGGAAACUGUAAAACAAACGGAACUACGUGGCUAAGAACUGUUGUAACGGGGAUUAUUAUCGUAGCAACACACUUUUGGGGUGAGGCAAUCCCACACAGUGUUCGGGUGUAGUUCGUAACGGUUGAAGUGUGUAUGUUAGGAUGGUAACGUUAUAAUAGGAUGGUAACGUUAUAAUUCCUGCAUGAGUAGCAGAAAGUUGAAAUUGGGCAUGCUAUUUAUCCAAAAGUGAAAAUGCUGCCCUCUAUACCGUAAGAAGUUAAGGAUGAAGCGUGAAUUCAUGACAGGAAUAAGACGUGUGAAGUUUGGGAUAUCCUCCCUUCUACAAUAAGCAGCCAACAAGAGGACCUGAGCCCUAGGACCAUGCCUCAGGACUACCUGACAUGAUGACUCCUUGCUGUCCCCAGUCCACCUGGCCGUGCUGCUGCUCCAGUUUCAACUGUUCUGCCUUAUUAUUAUUUGACCAUGCUGGUCAUUUAUGAACAUUUGAACAUCUUGGCCAUGUUCUGUUAUAAUCUUCACCCAGCACAGCCAGAAGAGGACUGGCCACCCAACAUAGCCUGGUUCCUCUCUAGGUUUUGGACUUUCUAGGGAGUUGUUCCUAGCCACCGUGCUUCUACACCUGCAUUGCUUGCUGUUUGGGGUUUUAGGCUGGGUUUCUGUACAUCACUAUGAGAUAUCAGCUGAUGUACGAAGGGCUAUAUAAAUAAAUUUGAUUUGAUUUUGAUUUAACUAAACAGAAUACUACUCUGUUACUGUAGGAAUGUAUGAAUCUUAUUAUAAUCAUAAUACUGAAUAUAAUGUGUGUAGUUUUAGUCAAGAAUUAGAACAAUGACUUUCUGUUCCUUGGUAUAAACGAAUGGAGCUAUCGUCAGACCGGCUGGAAUACUGUGUUCCUUACAGGACAUUCUGUCCCUACCCAAAGGUGAAAAGACUAACAGACUGGGUAAACAGGGGAGGGAGGUUUGCAACAUAGAACGUCCACAGACAGAUAGACGCAAACUGAACUGGAGAGCUAACUGUACACCCACAGUGCACAUGAGUGAGAAUGGGGGGGAUUUCUGAGAGGCAGAGUACCUGUUAACCAUAGAACAGGAGGAUGAUUUAAAAGAGAUACCCAGAUAUUUGUGGUCUCAGGGUCCCGCUGAUGUAGGCUUAAUUAAAGGAGUAACUCCGGUGCAAGUAGUUCCAAAAUCAAAUUAUAUACCUUACCAAAAACAGUACCCAUUAAAGCCAGAAGCAGUUAAAGGGUUAACACCUACUUUUGAACAGCUGAGAAAGGGAGGGGUUAUCAUACCAGGGGGUGAAGCGUUCUGUAACUCCUCUUUUUCAGUAAAGAAGGUGUUCCCUAGCACUGACUGGAGAAUGGUAAUGGACCUACAGGGGGUCAAUAACAGUGUGAUACCAAGAACAUCUUGUUUACCAGACCCGCACACUCUGUUAAACCAACUGAAGUCUGAGAAUGCUUACUUUACUGUGAUAGACCUUGCUAAUGCUUUCUUUAGUAUUCCGAUACACCCAGACAGCCAGGGGUGGUUCGGGAUCACCUUUUUAGGCCAAAAAUGGACGUAUAGCCAUUUGGCUCAAGGUUAUUUGGAAAGUCCUAUAAUCUAUAGUCAGGCAAUUACUAGAAAUCUUGGAAAAUUCGACCCUCCCCGGGGGAGCCAAAUAUUAAUACAUGUUGAUGAUAUUCUGCUGUCAAAUUCCUCACAGGAGGCCUGUAAAGCGAAUACUCUUACUCUGUUCCUCUUCCUAGCAGACCAAGGUCACAAAGUUAAUAAGAGGAAGUUACAGCUCUGGCAGGAACAAGUUAUCUAUUUAGGACACACCAUAACCCAGGAAGGGAGAACACUUAAUUCAACCAGAAAGACAGCCAUUCUAGAAGCACCCAAACCACUUAUCAAAAAGCAGAUGAUGAGUUUCUUGGGAAUGAUUAACUAUUGUAGGGCGUGGGUCCCACACUUUCCAUUGCAUACAGGGUUACUUAGUGAUUUGAUCUAUGGUAAGGCUAUGACAGCAAAAGACAAAAUUGUAUGGACAAGAGAAGCGGAGAAACAGUUUGUGGCUAUUAAACAGCUAUUGAUAUCUGACACUGUUCUGGCAUUCCCUAGGUAUGACCGUGUAUUCACACAGACUGUGGAUUGCAGGGAGGGGUUCAUGACAUCAAUGUUGACUUAGAGACACGGAGGGAAGAAUAGGCUGGUGGCCUAUUAUUGAUCAGGUGGCGCAAGCAAUGCCCCUGUGUUUGCUGUAGGACGGGCUGUGGAAGACUCAGCCUCUGUAGUACUUUACCAUGAUUUGACUUUGAGGGUACCACAUGCCGUCUCAAUCUUGUUAUUAGAACAUAAAAUGCCGUACAUGUCACCAGCUAGACACUUGUCUUGUAUGAUUAUUCUGUUAAAUAUGCCAGAUCUAACAAUUGAGCGAUGUACUACCUUGAACCCCUCCACCCUAAUUCCGAUAGCCACCGAUGGGUGUCCCCAUGAUUGUGUAGCGGAGAUGGAGAAAGUAGUUCUCCCCAGACCAGAUCUAACUGAUCUGCCUUUGCCAGAUGCUGAAAUAACUCUGCUCAACAAGCUGAAAUUGUUGCCCUUACCAGGGCUUGUGAAUUGGGAAAGGGUAAAUGCAUUACGAUACAUACUGAUAGUGCUUAUGCUUUUAACACUGUCCAUGUAUUUGCAGCUCAGUGGAGAAACAGGGGCAUGGUUACCACCAUGGGUCUCUAUGGAAGGUAUUUGUGUAAAUCACUGUGUAAUUCAUGGAAUCCGGUCAUAGCUCACACUGAGAGGGAUGGCUAUGUAAACCCACACACCCAAUUUGGGAGCACAUGGAAUCUAGUAAAGGUGGGAGUUUCUGACUGUGUUCCAGGGGAAAUAUUGCAGGGGAAAUAUUGAAUAAAGGUACGAAUUACCAUUAAAACGGUAAAGACCCAGGAUCUCGGGUUAUGGUAUGUUGGUUUCGACCAGUUUUCAAAUGAUACUAUGGUACCGUUCCAGGUGGCAGAGGUUAGAGCUGGUAAGCUAUGGUUGGCCGGAGUUCAGUUAAUCUGCCUAACACAACGGACAUUCCUAGUGUGAUUACACCCAGGGCCAAGGACCAGUACGAAUAGUUCAGACAAGAGGAAGUGAUAGAGGUGGAGACUGGGUUUGGGGAUUCCAACAUAUGGUUGGAAUGGAUUCAAUAUAUGGCCAGAUCAGUAGCUAAAGAAGAAUGUUAUGCCUGUGCCACAGCUAAACCUCAGUUGACAACUAUCCCUUUUCCGCUUAAUGAAGUUCAUUCACAUAGGGGUAUGGCCUGUAUGGUAAAGCUGCUCAUGAAAGCAGGAAUGCCAGAUAAUGACAGAUGCUCUGAUCUGCACUAUUUGUAUCCACAUGUACCCUUAGAUCUAGGCUCCCACCCUUUACUGUGGCAAGAGGAGAUUAUUACUGUGGGGCCAGGUACAACACCUAUGGAAGAUAUGUAGGGGAAGUUAGCACCUGCAAUAGGACAGAGAAUGUUACCACUGAUGGGACUAUGAGCGAUCUGACAGGCUGGCUGAGCUCUAGGGAUUUCAGUAAAAUAAAGAGGCCCAGGGCGGACAUCUGGUAGUUGUGUGGGGGAAUGACGUUAUGGCCAAAUUUACCUACAAAUUGGACAGGCCUAUGCGCUCUUGUGCAUUUGGGAAUGCCUUUGACCCUCAUUCAACACCAUGAUACGGUGUUGGCCAAACGGGAGAAAAGAAGUUCUCCAUCUGGGUCUUUUGACGAUAUAGUAUAUAUUGAUAACAUUGGGGUUCCACGGGGGGUGCCAGACGAGUUCAAAGCAAGAAAUCAGAUCCUAGCUGGAUUAGAGUCAAGCAUUUUCUGGUGGUCCACUCUCAAUAAGAAUGUGGACUGGAUUAAUUAUAUAUAUUAUAAUCAACAACGCUUCAUCAAUUAUACCAGAGAUGCCAUAAAAGGAUUGGCAGAGCAGACCGAAGCAACCAGCCUGAUUUCUUGGCAGAACAGAAUCGCAUUAGAUAUGUUGUUGCCAGAAAAGGUAGAGGCUGCGUGAUAUUCGGUAAAAUGUGCUGUACGUUCAUCCCAAAUAACACAGCUCCGGACAGAUCAGUGACCAAGGCCCUGGCUGGUUUAACCAUCCUAGCUCACGAGUUGGCAGAAAACUCUGGGGUGGAUACUUCUCUGACUAAUUGGUUUGACAGUAUGUUUGGAAAAUGGAAAAAUGUCAUGAUAACUGUGCUGUGGGCAACUUUCAACUGUGUGACUGUGUUAGUUUUGUGCAGCUGUUGUCUUAUUCAUUGCGUGAGAGGUCUCAUUUCUAGGACUCUGGAGAAAUCGAUGACACAACAGAUGUUGAGAUACAAUGAAUGAAUACAAUGAUGAAUACAUGCCCCCAGACCUAGCGGAUGGAUCCGGUUCCUUCACAUACGAGGAGCCUAAGUUGGAUGAGACCAUUUUUGAUGUUUAGGGAUUUUAGUUUGUUUCUUGUUUUGAUGUUUACACUGUUUCUUUGAUGAAGAUUAUAACAAAUAUCCUGAUAAGAAGAGUUAUGAUUCAGAUGUAGGCCUGGAACAGUCAAUUUAAUACAUAUGUUGGUAUUUGUUAGGAUGUUUUUGGAUAACAAGAGAUAGUUCUAAUAAAAAUAGAUGUUUGCUUUUUAAUAUUUUAACCUCUUGGUCCUACCUGGCACGCAGGCGUCCCAUCUAGAGCUCUGGAAAUGCAAAUGCGCUACGCUAAAUGCUAAUAGUAUUAGUUAAAACUCAAACGUUCAUUAAAAUACACAUGCAGGGUAUUGAAUUAAAGCUACACUCGUUGUGAAUCCAGGCAACAAGUCAGAUUUUUAAAAUGCUUUUCAGGGAAAGCAUGAGAAGCUAUUAUCUGAUAGCAUGUAACACCCCAAAAGACCCGCAGGGGACGUAAACAAAAUAAUUAGCAUAGUCGUCGCUACACAAACCGCACAAAUAAAAUAUAAAACAUUCAUUACCUUUGACCAUCUUCUUUGUUGGCAAUCCUAGAUGUCCCAUAAUCACUAUUGGGUCUUUUUUUCGAUUAAAUCGGUCCAUAUAUAGCCUAGAUAUCGAUCUAUGAAGACUGUGUGAUAAACGGAAAAAAAUAGCGUUUCAUAAUAAACUUUCACAAAACACUUCGAAAUACUUUUGUAAUGCAACUUUAGGUAUUAGUACACGUUAAUAAGCGAUAAAAUUCAUCAGGAGGCGAUGUCAAUUCUAUAGGUGUCUGUUUCGAAAAAAUGUCUUUCAGAGAGCUCGACCAAAACAUCCGGUCGGAGACCGGAGGGAAUCGAUUCCCUUGAUUCAGUUAGACCAAGAAUCAAUUGCGAAUCAAAUGACAAGACUCUAGACAACGUGUGGAAGCUGCUAGGCACUGCAACCUCGGCCUCAUUUAAUUCGAUUCACUUUGAACAAUUCCUUGAAGUCGCGGAUGGAUAUUUUUUUCCAUUUUCAGUGAUCAGAUAUUCCUGCACUUUUCGAUGAAACGCAUGUUCUGUUAUAGUCACAGCCGUGAUUUAACCAGUUUUAUAAACGUCUGAGUGUUUUCUAUCCACACAUACUAUCAUAUGCAUAUACUAUAUUCCUGGCCUGAGUAGCAGGGCGCUGAAAUGUUGUGCGAUUUUUAACAGAAUGUUCGAAAAAGUAGAGGGUCGACUUAACAGGUUAAUAAAAAUAGAGGUGUGAUUGGAUGUAUAAUAUUUAGUCAUAGGGUGUUAUGAUAUUUUUAUGACUAAUGACUCAAUUAUGUAUACAUUCAGUUCAGAAUUAUAACUAAACAGAAUACUACUCUGUUACUGUAGGAAUGUAUGAAUCUUAUUAUAAUCAUAACACUGAAUAUAAGGUGUGUAGUUUUUGUCAAGAAUUAGAACAAUGACUUUCUGUUCCUUGGUAUAAACGAAUGGAGCUAUCGUCAGACUGGCUGGAAUACUGUGUUCCUUACAGGACAUUCUGUCCCUACCCAGGGAGGAGAGAGACCUUGGGCUUGUAGUAUAUUGUUUAACAGGUGGCAUACAAUGUGAGAAGGCUUGUGAACUAUAUUGCCAUUGUAUAGGAGAGGGGGAUAGACAUUUAUUACGAAAUUUGAGGUAUAUAAACCACGUGUACAUGGUAUUAUGACCAGAGCUCUCAGGAAAUAAACACUACUGAUCUUUGUCUAUUUUAUACAAAUAAUAACCUUACAAAUUCUUAGAAACGGACAAAGUGUGUUACAAUUUGUUACAAUUUAAUUGGUUAAUUAACAUAUAGGAAUUAAAUUCCUCUAACAGGCAGAUGGUGUGUUUAUUUAUUUAUUUUAUUUUACCUUUAUUUAACCAGGCAAGUCAGUUAAGAACAUAUUCUUAUUUUCAAUGACGGCCUGGGAACAGUGGGUUUGUCAUGUCUUGUCAUAUUAUGUCUUGUUCCUGUUCUUUCUCUUCACUCUGUCUCCCUCUGCUGGUCGUAUUAGGUUACCUUCUCUUUCUCUCCUCCUCCAGCUGUUCCUCAUCUCCUCUAACUACCUCGUUCACCCUUUUCCCACCUGUUCCCUUUUUCCCUCUGAUUAGGUCUCUAUUUCUCUCUCUGUUCCUGCUUCUUUCUUUGUCAGAUUCUCAUUUGAGUUUCUCAUGCCAGAAACAAACUAUCGUCUCGUUUGCUUCAUCCUUGUCCUGUCGGAAUCUGCCUGGCAAGUGCAUCCUGUACUCAGCUAACUGUCUUAUCGUUUGUACUGUGUCCAGUUCAUCUGAUGCUACGUGAGAUCAGGUACCACUGUUCCUCUACGACCCGCGCCUACCCAGAGAGACCUGCAGCCUGUCGCCGCUAACCCAGCUAUUCUCCUCUGCUGCUAAGAAGGGGGCUCUUUUGUAAUUAUCAGAAGGACUUUUUGUUUCAUUUUGUCGCCCUCUCUGCGGGUUGUCUAUUUUUCCAUUAUCUACACCUGAAGAGGACCUAUGUCUUCCCUGUGUUUACAUUAAAGGACUCUGUUUUUGUUAAA